Molecule: ribosomal RNA, 253 nt
Filed under: uncultured bacterium
Lineage: Bacteria
Description: partial 16S ribosomal RNA
Rfam family: Bacterial small subunit ribosomal RNA
Source: RNAcentral
UACGUAGGGGUCGAGCGUUGUCCGGAUUUAUUGGGCGUAAAGCGCUCGCAGGUGGUCCGGUGCGUCGUGCGUGAAAGACCCCGGCUCAACUGGGGGGCGUCGUGCGAUACGGUCGGACUGGAGGCCAGUAGGGGGAUGCGGAAUUCCGGGUGUAGUGGUGGAAUGCGUAGAGAUCCGGAGGAACACCAGCGGCGAAGGCGGCAUCCUGGACCGGCAUUGACGCUGAGGCGCGAAAGCUAGGGGAGCAAACGGG